RNAcentral lists this small RNA (132 nucleotides) under Escherichia coli. Its description in RNAcentral is "RtT sRNA". It matches the Rfam family "RtT RNA". Rfam says of the family: This family represents a bacterial cis-regulatory element known as RtT RNA. The exact function of RtT is unknown although it is thought that it may be involved in changing the cellular response in relation to amino acid starvation. The record is from RNAcentral. Lineage: Bacteria; Pseudomonadati; Pseudomonadota; Gammaproteobacteria; Enterobacterales; Enterobacteriaceae.
AUUUUGCCCAAGCGGGGAAGGAUGAGAAGCUUCGACCAAGGUUCGACUUGAGCGCCAGCGAGAGAGCGUUGCCGCAGGCAACGACCCGAAGGGCGAAGCGCGCAGCGCUGAGUAAUCCUUCCCCCACCACCA